RNAcentral lists this ribosomal RNA (273 nucleotides) under uncultured beta proteobacterium. RNAcentral's name for it is "partial 16S ribosomal RNA". It matches the Rfam family "Bacterial small subunit ribosomal RNA", at positions 56 to 335 of the family's 1533-position model. The record is from RNAcentral. Lineage: Bacteria; Pseudomonadati; Pseudomonadota; Betaproteobacteria.
UGCAAGUCGAACGGUAGAGGGGGCAACCCCUUGAGAGUGGCGAACGGGUGAGUAAUAUAUCGGAACGUGCCCAGUCGUGGGGGAUAACGUAGCGAAAGUUACGCUAAUACCGCAUACGAUCUAAGGAUGAAAGCGGGGGAUCGCAAGACCUCGCGCGAUUGGAGCGGCCGAUAUCAGAUUAGGUAGUUGGUGGGGUAAAGGCUCACCAAGCCAACGAUCUGUAGCUGGUCUGAGAGGACGACCAGCCACACUGGAACUGAGACACGGUCCAGA